Molecule: unclassified non-coding RNA, 324 nt
Filed under: soil metagenome
Description: partial contains 5.8S ribosomal RNA, internal transcribed spacer 2, and large subunit ribosomal RNA
Rfam family: 5.8S ribosomal RNA (bases 1-120)
Source: RNAcentral
GAUGAAGAACGUAGCGAAAUGCGAUAAGUAGUGUGAAUUGCAGAAUUCAGUGAAUCAUCGAAUCUUUGAACGCACAUUGCGCCCCUUGGUAUUCCAUGGGGCAUGCCUGUUCGAGCGUCAUUUGUACCUUCAAGCUUUGCUUGGUGUUGGGUGUUUGUCCCGAGGGACUCGCCUUAAAGUAAUUGGCAGCCAGUGUUUGGUUUUGAAGCGCAGCACAAGUCGCGAUUCAAGGCUACACGCCCACUUCCACAAGCCUUUUUUCACUUUUGACCUCGGAUCAGGUAGGGAUACCCGCUGAACUUAAGCAUAUCAAUAAGCGGAGGA